CUAUUUUAAGGGAAUUAAUUCCCUAAAAUUCCUCAAUUUUUUAUUUUUAUUUUUUUGACUUGUUUACUUCCAAGGCCACAUAUUGAACAACUUCUGCAUUUUUUACCUGUUUUCGACCAGCCAAAACAGUUUUCGAUAUGU
Bradysia coprophila is the source of this 141-nucleotide long non-coding RNA. Lineage: Eukaryota; Metazoa; Arthropoda; Insecta; Diptera; Sciaridae. The record is from RefSeq and is a predicted model, not a curated record.